Myodes glareolus (Bank vole) is the source of this 3054-nucleotide non-coding RNA. Lineage: Eukaryota; Metazoa; Chordata; Mammalia; Rodentia; Cricetidae. The record is from RefSeq and is a predicted model, not a curated record.
GGCGCGCCCGGGCAGUGGGGAGGGGAGACUAUGCCAUCAGCGAAAGGAGGAUUGGCUGCAUCCAAAGCCAGUCCGGAUGCAAACUCACGGCCGGGCCUCGGUCGCGUGGAGUGCAAGGGGAUCGCGGCGUGGGUGGGAGUUGAAGGGGUUGAUGGGGUUGAGGGAGACGUGAGGUCUGGAGGGGGGGGCACCUUCUGCAGUUGUCACCGCGUCAAUGCUGGGCAGCUGCCAGGCCACCCUUCCCCCGCUCCCCUUCCAGCAACUUCUUCCAACAGCCUCUUCCAACGGACCCCCUCACACUCCUCCCUAAUGCCUCGCCCAUCUAGCAGGGCACAAAGAAAUCUCAGUCUCCUUCCAUAAACUUUGUGCUUCCAGUUACCGCUCCCCUCCAGGAGCCCCCGCCCUCCGCCCUUCCAGUUUCUUGGCAGGAAGGUUAGGCCACUGGCAAAGUCCCCGGCGAAAGCCAGCUGAUCACAAACGCCAACUGUGUGUCUUGGGGCCCGUUCAGUCCUCUCAUCUGCCCAGGCUCUCAGGAGACCAUUUCAUUGCUGUCAGAGUUCCCGGGAGACUGCUGCGGACGCGAACCAUCCCCCACUGGGCCCACAAGGAUGGGGUGCUGAGCUGUACUCGUAGCGCUUUUCUGCAUCUUGCUUGAGAGUUUCCAUUGAAACAGUGAAAUCCCGGAAUCGGGAGUCAGGCAGAUAUUUUCCUCACAUCCAAAAGGACGAUGGUUAGCUGGAUGAUUCGCGCUAGGUAGGAAAGGAACUAUGAGCUCUAACACGAAAUACUAACUUUGUGUGAAGUCUGUGGAAGUUCUGCAGUCCCACCCUGCCCCCGUGACCGUCCAUUCUCAUAGUUCUGCCACAGGGAAGCACCGUGGAGCUAAUAAAAGAUGUAUUAUUGUCAUAAUUUUUCAAUCAGCAGCUCCACGCCACAGCUACAUGGCUCCCAAACAAUGAUUAUGAAAACCACAGUUGAGGAAAGCAUCAGGAAACGGCAUUACAAAACCACAGCAACAAAUGUGUCUGCGAUAUUGAAAACCACAAUUCACAACUAAUACCCCGUGUCGCCAAUGACUAUUAACUAUACAUGUGCAAAUGUGGAAUCAAGAUAUUGACCAAGAAAACUCCCAGGCUAAUCUUAUGAGACAUCAAGCUACCUUCUUGAUUAUGAAAAUGCAAUGUGGACAGCUGUCUCAAGCUCUUGGCAGCAGGAUUUCCCACUAAGUUUAAGGAUUUCCCUUGAACUGUGAGCCAAGACAAGGCCUUUCUCCCUGGAUCUGCUUUUUUGGGGGUAUUUGAUCACUGUAACAAGAAUAUAUUUGAAGCAACACUUUCUGUUUGUUUGGUUGAUACUGGCUAAUAUCCAUGAAUAUGCAUUAAAGUCAAAUUUUACUUUCGGUAGACAAAACAAGUUAAAACCGCUCUGUCUGAAGACCUGAGAAGAUGGCUCACUGUGUUAAAGGUUUCAUGGGCAAGCAAGUUUAAGGACUUGAGUGAACAUCCAUAGCGCCCAAAUAAAUGCCAGGGGCCUCAAUGGCUCAGCUGUAUGCCCAGCACUAAUGGGCACAGAGGGAUGUCUAGAGAAAGCUGGAUAGAUAGACUAGCUGAGUGGACAAGCUCUGUGUUUAAGAAGAUCCUGCUUCAAUAUGCAAAGUGGAGAGAAAACAAGGAAGAUACCAAUAUCAACCUCUAACUAUCAAAUCUCCCCAUGCACAUGUGUCCAUACCCACAUGAAUACACACGUGCACAAUCACAGAUACCACACACAUUUGAAGCAAUAAAUGAAUCAAUGAUCAAAUAAAUAAAUGAAAUUCUCUAUGUUAGGUGCAGUGGCUUGCAAAGAACACCAAUUGCUCAUAAAAAUGAAAAAUAGAAAGCAUAUGUGUUUUCACCUGUAAACACCAGCUUCUCUCCGUAUCAUGUGAUGACUUGGCAUCUGUGUGAGGAGAUACACUUUGAUGAUUCUAAAACACAUGGGAACUCCAAUGCCACGGCUGGUCCCCAGUUUCCGUAUCUAUUCUGCCUUCCUAGGAAACCACACCUGAAUGGUACCAACCAAAAUGACAAAAACUGCAUCACCCUGGAAAUAAAGGCUAGCUGUCAUGAUUCUCUUGCUUACUGCUCUCUCUGACCCAACGAACUUACAUUUGUUCAGGGAGAAAAGGAGUGUUCAGAAUGACAAAAUGCAUGCACUUCCCAUGCAUGUACUGUCGCUGGAGAUGCACUACCUCUAUGUCUGCUGUGUAGAAAGUCAAUGGCAGUCUCCUUCUAUCACGCAUGCUUCUACAAUAUGGAGCAGUUACAGAACCUUAAGAAAAUGGAGAGUGUCUGGACAUGCAAACAGAAACCGGAUUUCUAGUUGGGAUGCCUCUACCUAGAUAACUCCGUUGGUCCCUUUGCCUUCUUCUCAUUGCAGUCCCUACGACUCCGUGAGUUCUAAAAUAGAAUAAAACUUUCUAAUAUGGUAUCAGAGGAACAUGGGACAGCUGUUCCACACAACCGUCAAAAGAUCAAAUCUUGCCAGCGCCAUGACUCCGGCUCUCCAGCACACCGUGCCUCUUUAAUGUCUCUUACUGAAGCUGGAACUCACACUGUAGGCUGGACUGACUGGUCAGUGAACUCCAGGAAUCCUGUUGAUUCUGUCCCAUCUGCAUUAAGAUGAUGUGCACAGCUGCUUCUAGCCACCAUGAUGCACCUUGAACUGUGAGCCAAGCAAACCCUUCUCCAUCAAAGUUGCUUUACUCAGAGCAUUUUAUAAAUACACCAAGAAAAGAAGCUACGAUUGCUUUACUGCAAUUUUUGCAUUUGCAAGGUAUUCGUGUUGGCUAUAGAACAUAGAUUGUGAUCCAUUCAGAAUCUCUCUGGAGUUCUUAAUUGUUCAUAUACACUUAGAGUCCAUAUACUGUCCAGAAAUCUUGGAUUUGCAUAGGCUGUUAAAUAGUCAACCCAUUCAUGUAAAAAUUUAAUAUCUGUGGUAGUUUGAAGAGGAAUGUCUUCAAAAGGCUCAUGUAUUUGCUUAGUCAUCAGGAAGUGGCAAUAUUUGGGAGGGAUU